UCCGUUAAACUACUCAAUUUUUUCCUGUCCCAUUCUUUUUCCGUUUUGAAAUUGGGUUUUCUUUCUCUCUUUAUUUUUUCUUCUGACCGAGACAUUCCAUUACCUAUGUAUGUUCGUUCUUUAUCCAAGAAAAUAAUAAUCGGCUUAUUGUACUUCUGCUGUUUCGCCUCCAAACUGUACCAAGAACCCCCCCAGCAAGCUUGCCGGUUGCUGUCCAGAUGGCAACCACGUCUGAACGGUCCUUGCUUUAUACACGAUUUCUUAGCCACACCACUUCGAAAAUGUAUUAGAUAUGAAUCGAGAUUGUGUAACGUUCAUGCUUUUCUUAAAAGAUGUCUUCGCGUUCCACACAGUUGAAGAAUUAGGGAAUAUUUUGCAGCUACUCUUUCUUCAUUAUAUAUUUCCCCGUUUAAACAAAUGUUGUGUAAAAUUACUCCCCAUUAAUGUUACAAAUAUGUCUGUUGUAUACUGCGGAUGUGGAACCAGCUGCACUGAACUUGAUUAGCGUGUAAAGAUCGCUUUAUGAAAUAAAUGGCGUAUUUUUACUAUAUUGGUUUGAUAUUGAGUGAGGUAAAAAAAAAAAAAAAAAAGAAAGUAUGAAAUAUCUUUAAAAAUCACAGAAUACUUUAGUAGCACACAUUGAACAUACGUGUGCGCGUGUAGACGGAUACGGACAUCAGCGAUUUAUUUAUUUAUUUAAUUCUUCCAUUCAGACGAAAGGAAGAAUAAUACGAAAUGGUUAUUAUAGUCAAUCGAUCUUUGAAAGAUAUCUCAUUGAUCGAUUAUUCUUCACUCCAUCUAAAAAUUGGGGUAUGAAACGACCAAUUUGUUCUAGAUUGAUGUUCGAACUGUCACCCGUAUGUAGAUGUCUAGAUUUACGUACAUAUGACAUAUUACUACCAUUUUCCCCCCAUUGUUUUCAUUCCGCGAUGUCAUUACUUGCACAGUGUCUGUUUCUGUAGUGUAUGCAUGUGUUCGUACAGAAAAUUCCAUAUUUGUGUAAAUACUGAACUAAUUAAUCAUCUGAAGUGAAAUGGCAAGUAAUAAAACUACUACCGACACAACUAUGCUGGAUUUAAUAAGAAUCAUACAGGAACAAGGAAAGAAAUUGGUUACAUUUAGUU
Octopus sinensis (East Asian common octopus) is the source of this 1124-nucleotide long non-coding RNA. RefSeq lists it as uncharacterized. NCBI's taxonomy places the organism in Eukaryota, Metazoa, Mollusca, Cephalopoda, Octopoda, Octopodidae. The record is from RefSeq and is a predicted model, not a curated record. The transcript has 2 exons.